RNAcentral lists this ribosomal RNA (255 nucleotides) under uncultured bacterium. Its description in RNAcentral is "partial 16S ribosomal RNA". It matches the Rfam family "Bacterial small subunit ribosomal RNA", at positions 524 to 776 of the family's 1533-position model. The record is from RNAcentral.
UACAGAGGUCCCGAGCGUUUGUUCGGAUUCACUGGGCGUAAAGGGUGCGUAGGUGGCAUAGAAAGUUUGAUGUGAAAGCUCAGGGCUUAACCCUGAAAUGGCAUUGAAUACUGCUGUGCUGGAGGUUUGGAGGGGGGGACUGGAAUUCUUGGUGUAGCAGUGAAAUGCGUAGAUAUCAAGAGGAACACCAGUGGCGAAGGCGAGUCCCUGGACAACACCUGACACUGAGGCACGAAAGCUAGGGGAGCAAACAGG